UCGACAACCACUGUCUUCUGGUGGUGAGUAAACAUGGUAGAGAUUUCAAAUCCCUGAAUUAUGCUUCUUCCAUCGUCGGGAUUGCGGGGGCAUAGAAAGCAAUGCACGUUCGUGUUCCUGAAGUAGUUUUCANNNUUGAUCAUGGGUUGCCAUUAGGCCAUCCUUCUUCAGUUCCUCAACAGAGGUUCUGUCAUCCCAAACGAGCAUAAGAACUCUCACACCUUCAUCAGCCUUCUUCUUGAGCAGAUCCCCAAGUUUUAGGUCACCUCCUGGUUUUCGCCUAUGAGGAUCCCUAACCAAAGUUAUCUCAGUAUAAACAGACCACCCAGUUAUGUAAAUCAGGUACUUGGCAUUAGUGAUGGCAUCAAAGAUGUCUUCCCAGCAUCUGUGAGCUUCAUAGGUCUUUCCUUCUAUUGGAAUCCUAGGAAUAAAACUGU
Molecule: unclassified non-coding RNA, 437 nt
Filed under: Hevea brasiliensis (rubber tree)
Lineage: Eukaryota; Viridiplantae; Streptophyta; Magnoliopsida; Malpighiales; Euphorbiaceae
Source: RNAcentral